GCACCGUGCCUAGUCUCCCUGCAGUCACUACCACACCUUCGGUGGCUUUUUAUAGCUUCACCAAGGUGUGCUAGUGAUGACAGGGGGAUGGGAACAAUCA
This 100-nucleotide microRNA precursor is filed under the name Strongylocentrotus purpuratus (purple sea urchin). RNAcentral describes it as "microRNA spu-mir-2011 precursor". The stretch from base 9 to 92 matches the Rfam family "mir-2011 microRNA precursor family". The record is from miRBase by way of RNAcentral. Lineage: Eukaryota; Metazoa; Echinodermata; Echinoidea; Camarodonta; Strongylocentrotidae.